CGGGUGAGUAACACGUGGAUAACCUACCUAUAAGACUGGGAUAACUUCGGGAAACCGGAGCUAAUACCGGAUAAUAUAUUGAACCGCAUGGUUCAAUAGUGAAAGACGAUUUUGCUGUCACUUAUAGAUGGAUCCGCGCCGCAUUAGCUAGUUGGUAAGGUAACGGCUUACCAAGGCAACGAUGCGUAGCCGACCUGAGAGGGUGAUCGGCCACACUGGAACUGAGACACGGUCCAG
This 237-nucleotide ribosomal RNA is filed under the name uncultured Staphylococcus sp. RNAcentral describes it as "partial 16S ribosomal RNA". It matches the Rfam family "Bacterial small subunit ribosomal RNA", at positions 103 to 334 of the family's 1533-position model. Lineage: Bacteria; Bacillati; Bacillota; Bacilli; Caryophanales; Staphylococcaceae. The record is from RNAcentral.